AAGAGUUUAUCCAUUCCUGUUUCUCCCUUUACUCUACUGCCCACUCAGCUAUCCCAUUUUCUCAGCCCUAGGACCAUAUUCCCAUUUGCUUCUCACACGCCAUCCAAAAAGGCUCUGCCUUUAUAGACAGAGCCUUCACCCUCACUAUCCCACUGUCCUUGGUAAUAGAGCUACCAAACUUCUUUGCACAUAUACUGCCAAUAACCACCACGGAAAACUCCCAUAACUCUGUAUACCCCAAAACUUGGCCAAGCCACCAUAUGUGUCACCUCUUCCAACAAACACAUACACAUAGGCACCAUCCCUCCCUCUGCCUGUGGUUCUACUCAAACCAUCUCCCAUCCCUCACUCUCCCCUGAAGCUAACGGCCCUUUUUACCCAGACCCUCCACAUUACCUCCUCUCCUGCCUCUCAAACAUGGAAACCCCUUCCUGAGACAGGAGUUCUCAAAGGGGUCUCUCUCUCCCCCUCACUCUGGGUUGCUAAAGCUGGACCAGUUCCCUCCAAAUAAGGAACCUACACACUCCAACACCUAUUCUGAAUCCCUUGUCCAUUUACAUUAACACCAGAGGCAUCUUCUUCCUCUGAGAUCCAUAACCUAUUUCUGUCUCCCUACCAACUAGACAGGUACUUGCACCCUAAUCUACCUCCAACAUUAAAUUAACCUUGUCCUCCAAACCAAAAAACUCCCUGUCCCUACUAUACUACACGCCUACCCCCACUAAAAAAAUAUAUAGUUCAUUCCCUUAUUAGUAGCCCUUAAAGUCACAACUAGUGUCAGGUUAGAAGCAGGAAGUCUAAAAACCUUGUUAUCAUAUUUCUAGUUGCUCUCCCAAAAUUUCCAAUUGUCAGUAAAAAAAAAAAAAGAAACCAUAGCAAAGUCUAUCACUAACCUUCAAAACCAACUAGACUCUUUAAAUCAAUCACUUUACAAAAACCUCAGAGGCCUAGGCCACCUCACUGCUGGGGAAAAAGUCUGUGCCUCUUUUUAAAUAACCAAUGCUGUUUUUACCUCAGUAAAUCUAGAUUAUACAAAAUACUAUCAAAAGGCUCAAAGACAAAACCCAAAAAAUUUAAAAGACAUUCUACUGCCUGGCCCUGCUGGCCCGGUUGGUCUCUCAGCUCCUGGGCUCCCUAGCUGCUUCCCCUCCUCAGCCCUGCUAUAACUCUCCUCCUCCUCUUGGUCUUUGGCCCUUGCCUCUUACGCCUUUUCACCCAGUUUUUUACAGAAUCAGUUACAAGCUUUUACCUGUGGCACAUUACAGGACAUGAUGGUGUUCUAGGACUACCAACUUGCAAGCCAGCCUCACCCCAACCAGCGUCCCUACUCAGCAUGAAGCAGCUAAAAACAAACGGUGCCCCUUUUCUCAUACACACACACACACACACACACACACACACACACAUCAAUCAAAAGGCUAGAAUGGUAGGGUCACAGCAAGGCAAACCCAUAGACCCCCUUUGACAUUCUCCCCUGCUAAGCCGAGCUCAUGCCCUGUAAACAGGGCACCUAGGUUCCAGGAUGUGGUCGCACCAAGCUCUCAAACCCAGAAUGUUGACCCAAUUUAGCAGAAUGUUAGCCCCUAAGAGCCAAGAUGUGGUUUUUCUUAGAACAGCACCUGGCUACCUGCAAACUCCUAUAUAACCCCCAUAUAGUCCAUAAGCCAGGCUGCUGCCUUCACUGCCUGUGGUGAGGCAGCCAGCCUGGCAGGUUGAAAUAAACUUGCUAAACCUGACCCUGGGUCUGCCUGUCCAUCCUUUUAGUCAACCUUACAACAGCUGACAGCUGUUACCAGUGCUGUCUCUGAAAAGUGCUUAACCUGUGCACAAAACAACCCUAGACAAGGACCAGGCCGGCCCCCAGGAAUUCACCCUCUGUGAGAACCUGAUUGUAGAUUUUACUGAGUUACCCUGUAAGAGGUCUUAAGUAUUUAUUGAUCUUUGUAUGCCCCUAUUCCAAGUGGGUAAAGGUUUUCCCCAACUGAAAAGGCCUGAGAAGUAACUGGGUGUUACUAGUGCUCAUUAUUUACAAGUUUGAGGUGCCUUUGACUAUCGGGUCAGAUAAUUGCCCAGUAUUUGUAGCUGAAGUUGUUUAACACCUAUCCCAGUUAUUAAAAACAAGAUGGAAGUUGCAUAUUACAUACUGUCCCAAGAGUUCAGGAAAAGUUGAAAGGAUGAACCAAGCAAUAAAGCAAUUGUUAAAAAAAACAAUUCUGUCUAGUAACCCACCUAAAGUGAGACCAGGCUCUACCCAUGGUUCUCCUUCAAAUCAGAUGCACCCAGAAAAAAAGCCAGGAUACUCACCCUACAAAGUUAUGUUUGGAAGGCCGCCCCCUCUCAUUACCAAAAUUAAAGGAGAUCUCAAAGAAACAGGAGCACUAAUAUGGAGAAGACAAAUGUAGGCCUUAGGUACAGCUAUGAAAGAAGUACAAAGUUGGAUGCAAGAAAGAUUGCCAGUAAGUCUAGCCCAGUCCACCCAUCCCAACCACAUUAGGACGGGCCCUUUAUUGUAAUCUUAUCUACCCCCACUGCUGUUAAGGUUGCUGAAGUUGUUCCCUGGAUCCAUCACAGCUGGUUAAAGCAAGCUGCUGCCCAGGACACAUGGACCAGCCAGCCAGACCCGGGUCAACCCACCAAACCAACCUUAAGACGAAUGGCAAACAGAGACCAAACUCAGACCAGCCUGACCUCAGACACAACUGAUAAUGAAGAAUCAUCAAGCCCUGCUCUUGUCACAUAACCGAAAGCUGAGUAGUCAACGCACUAGCUGACGCUUGAGGAAUCUCCACCAGAUAAAUAAAGGUGGUAAGACUCCAGGAGAAAGACACUGGCAAGUGUUAGAGGAAAAGAGGCAAGUUUAUCCGAAAGCGUUACGGAAAUCCCCGAAAAAGGACAAUGCAAAGGCCCGGAGGAUUUGCUGACGUGGGGAAGGGGGUAUGCUUGUAUUUUUGGAGAUGGACAAACCGUGUGGGUGCCCUCCAAGUAUGUUUGACCAUGGAACAGGACACUGGAGGGAUCCAUGGUGGCCAACUGUGGGCCCAGUCCCUCCAGUAUGAACCAUGAGCCAACUGGAUCUGAAUUCGAAGAUGGAACAAGGGCCAACCACAGUCACAAUCACAACCAAACCCAUAACAUGGGGACAGAUCAUGAAAAUCAUAUAGGAGGCUGAGAAACUGAUGGAGCACCAGGGUCAGGCAAAAACCCUGACUCCAUGUUCGCCGUGGUGUCCUAUGUGGUAUGUUUCCCCUAUGUAGAGGCAAAAACAUAUUGGACGUAUGUUCUGUUCCCAACCCUCCACCUGAAAUGUAUCACGAUCAGGAAGCAUAGGCUCCAGGAGCCAUGACUGCCCCGGACACAGAACAACUAAACUCUCAUUUAUGAAACGGAGCAUCUGGGUCAGAACACUAUUCAAUAAUAGUAAUUCUGUUCAACGUACUUUAAUAUCACCUUCGUUAGAAACAUUACCACUCAAUUUACAGUCUGUGUCUUCAAUCCUUAUGUUUUUCUAGUGGCUUUAAAAAAGGUCAACUCCAGGUAAAUGUCACCCAACUGACUUCUGUCUCUUGUCAAUUUUAUUAUUGCCUUAAUCAUAGCACUAUAUGAAAACAGAACAUAUCCACCCUAAUAAUUCUUCGUCAUAUUCCUGGAUUAUGGAUUCCUGUCAAUUUGUCUGACCCAUGGGCUGCUACGCUCGCUUUACAUUUCGUGAACCUUCUUACCAGCUCACUUGUCACGCUCGUAGAGCCUUAGGCAUGAUCAUUUUUGCUACAGUCUCCUUGGUCACACUGAUAACUUCUGUUGUGGUGUCCUCAGUAGCACUAGUUUGAUUCAAACAGCCCAAUAUGUAGAAAGUUGGACACGUACAGCUGAUCAGACAUGGAUGCUCCAAGAUAAAAUUGAUGUGGAAUUACAAACAGAAGUAGCAAUGCUAAAGUCUACUGUUUUGUGGCUGAGAGAACAAGUACAAAGUUUGCAAUUGCAGCAGCAAUUGCACGGUCAUUUUUACCAUACUCACAUUUGUGUAACCAAUUUGGAAUACAAUUAAAGUGAAUAUCCAUGGAACCUCAGAAGCUUUUACAUCCAAUGUUACUUUGAUAUCAGUGAUUUA
This is a long non-coding RNA of Cebus imitator (Panamanian white-faced capuchin), 4108 nucleotides long. RefSeq lists it as uncharacterized. The transcript has 2 exons. Lineage: Eukaryota; Metazoa; Chordata; Mammalia; Primates; Cebidae. The record is from RefSeq and is a predicted model, not a curated record.